UCACAAGGGCUGUUGAAGAAGUCACAAUAGGAAGUUACAUUUGCUUGUGACUCUGUGGCUGCUAUUCAGGGGCUAAUGUCAGUUCAAGGCCCCUGCAAGUCACUUGCCCAAACAAAAUGGAUGCUGAGGCAGCAGUGCCAUGGAGUAGCUUAACUGAACUCUGGACCAAAGGGGUCUUUAAAACACGAUACAUUUCAUAUCUUCAGGACAGCUCUGUGUGUGAAGACGGAUGGUCACAAUACAUGACUUCAGGGUUUCUUGUAAUUUGGAGGCUAUAAAAGAAGCGUGACAUCUCUGUCUUCUAGGAGUUCACGGUUUGCAGACGCAUAGACACCACGUUUAAAAAUAUAAGUCAGCACAUAAUUAACAGCAAAACUGAAUAUGACCAAGGGCUUGACUGUACAAUUAUAUAACAAUUGAUACUUCCUCGGUGACAGCUACUGCUUCUCAGCAUGACAUUCAGAGCACCAACCAGGUAGUGUCUUUUGUCAGACAGGUGGUGCCUUCCUCUGCCAUCUGUCCCUGGAGUGCAUGUAACAGAGAGGCAGAGACCCUGGAACUUGUGAAAGAAGAAAGCAAGAAAGCAAGAAGGAAAGAAAGCAAGAAAGCAAGCAAGCAAGAAAGCAAGCAAGAAAGCAAGCAAGCAAGCAAGAAAGGAUUAUACUAGUGUGGAUAAUUGCAAGAGAAUCAAAAUUUUUCAUUUAGAAGCCAAAAGUGAUUCAGCUGGUAUUCAAUCAAUGAGAAAAACUAAGUGACCAGCUUAGUUAAAAAUAUCAACCAACCCUAAAUCAGCAAACAAACAAAAAUACAAAAUAAUAAUAGCAAACAACAAUUUGAAAACAACCAUACAACCGAUAUAUUUUCUCCCUCUCUCUCACUCUUGCUCGGAAGCUUAGUGAAACUAAAACAAAAGGUAGGGCAUCUUUUCUUCAGGCCUCCAUUUACUGUCACUUACUAUCUUUUCUCUUCUUCUUACAGUACACUGUGUCCUUGAGUCAGACCUGCCCAGAGAACCCUGCCCAGGCCCUCUUGCCAGAGAAGAGUCCUUCCUCUGUCAGAAUUAUGUUAAUCUACUGUGUGGGAAUCCAGCCCUGCUUGUGACUCUUGCCAGUUACAUUGGAGCUGUUGAUUAAGAACAUUCUUCGCCACGUGACUACAUAAAACAGUUGGACCAUUUUACCCCUCGGUUCAAGUGAUUUUUUUUUUCACAUUAUACAACUAUCAGUUUAUUUUAUUGUUCAUGAAGAUUGCUCUCUCCUCACAGAGCAGGAAAUGUGCUCUGAAGCUGACAGGGAAGGAACUCGCUUUAAUAGUAGCAAUGACAACAACACAAUAACAAGCCUUUUCAAAAAUAAGCAGUUAACCACGUCCUCUUCCAUCCCAUUUCCCCCCACCUACACGUGGCUUUCAUCUCCUUCUGUCAUUCCAAUAAAAGCAGGUUGUACACUGCUCAUUACUGAGAGCCCAGAAUCCUAAUCCUUCACACCUUGGUCAUUAGCCAGUCUAAUAAUAACGUGAGAAAUCCA
Panthera uncia (snow leopard) is the source of this 1526-nucleotide long non-coding RNA. RefSeq lists it as uncharacterized. Lineage: Eukaryota; Metazoa; Chordata; Mammalia; Carnivora; Felidae. The record is from RefSeq and is a predicted model, not a curated record. The transcript has 3 exons.